This 497-nucleotide ribosomal RNA is filed under the name uncultured bacterium. RNAcentral describes it as "partial 16S ribosomal RNA". It matches the Rfam family "Bacterial small subunit ribosomal RNA", at positions 28 to 507 of the family's 1533-position model. The record is from RNAcentral.
GAUGAACGCUGGCGGCGUGCCUAAUACAUGCAAGUCGAGCGAACGGACGAGAAGCUUGCUUCUCUGAUGUUAGCGGCGGACGGGUGAGUAACACGUGGAUAACCUACCUAUAAGACUGGGAUAACUUCGGGAAACCGGAGCUAAUACCGGAUAAUAUUUUGAACCGCAUGGUUCAAAAGUGAAAGACGGUCUUGCUGUCACUUAUAGAUGGAUCCGCGCUGCAUUAGCUAGUUGGUAGGGUAACGGCUUACCAAGGCAACGAUGCAUAGCCGACCUGAGAGGGUGAUCGGCCACACUGGAACUGAGACACGGUCCAGACUCCUACGGGAGGCAGCAGUAGGGAAUCUUCCGCAAUGGGCGAAAGCCUGACGGAGUAACGCCGCGUGAGUGAUGAAGGUCUUCGGAUCGUAAAACUCUGUUAUUAGGGAAGAACAUAUGUGUAAGUAACUGUGCACAUCUUGACGGUACCUAAUCAGAAAGCCACGGCUAACUACGUG